UAUAAACCUAUUAUUUCUCUAAAAAAAAAAAAAAAAUGGGGUCCCAAAAGGCAAAAGCCUUACUUGGAACAACGUUAGAGCCGGACCUGUUCAAGAGAAGCACUUCAUCACAUAAAUCACUUCCAUUUGGGCAAAGUACCUUCUUAAUUACGGAGUAUUUGCAGAGUAUAGAAAUCAAAAUAUUAAAAAGACAAUAUUUAAAGAUACAAACUUCUGAUAGAAUGAAAAGUUAUCUGAUAAUACAACUGUCUAGAGUCAUCUAAUAAGCAGAGUACACUUCAAAUAAGGCGAAGCCUCUCAAUGAUUACAAUUUACAGGAUACUAAUUAUAUUUUCUUAUCAUAGGUAUUCUCUUUCAUUUUCUAUUGUGGACCACAACAAUAUAAUAAUAUCUACCCUUAAAUGAAAAAGAAAAAAAUUAAGUAGUUAAACCAAUAUUAUAUAAUUUACAAAAAGCAUGGCGGUUCGUGCAAGCUUCCUUUAGCUCAUCAUUCUCGACAUUUCUUUACCAACCAACAAAUCCUAAGAAGCUGCACUCAAGAAAAUUUAAACCCAUAUAUUAAAAUCAAAUCAAAUAGUAGACCGGAAAUAUUCAGCUAAGUAAUACAUAAAAAUAUACUCCUUUGAAACCUAAUUUAUUCCGAAAACUUUUAAUUCUAGAGAACUCUCAUUUUUAUUUUUUGCUCUUCAUUUCCCCACUUUGUAGUCUAUCUAUAGAGAAGUGUAUUUAGACUAAUAAAUUGAGCAAAAUAGUGAACAAUAAGACAAUUAAGCAAUCUGAAAAGUGAGUAGUUUUUGACUUUUGAUGUGUAAGGUAAGAUAGGAAAAAAGGAAAGCAUAUAAAAUUUUCGUUCCCCAUCUCUGCUCCAAAAGAACAUCUAAUUUUUUGUGUGCCUUACUUCUUUAACUAUAACCAGAAAAAUUAAAUUACAUUUAUAAACUUACAGAAAACUACUAUAGCUCACCAAUUUUAUAAAUAAAAACCUUUAAGAAUAUGGAAAUUAUCAACUGUUUCAGCUAUAAGUGCAAGUGGAGGAAAAAAAAAAAGCAUACAUUUGGAUAGCAAACAAGAAUAGAUUAUCUUAGAUAAAAUCAAAACUCGAACACAAAUCAACAACUUUGCUAUAUGAAUUUUCACGAUCCAAAUUACUCCAUUUAAACUGGUCUUAAUUAAAACUCAAAAACAGAAGAAACAAAAAAUUGAAGAUAAAAGAAGGCGUUGUACCUGAGAGAACUAUGAGAGAGACCAUGGAAGAAAAAAUUGGCUCCAUGUAGGAACAUCACAACACCAGUACACCCUAGCACAAAUAAUUCAAACAUCCUUUGGCUGUCGAAAAAUAAAAACUACGUCGGACAGUAUGUUAAUGCUUGAAAAAAAGAGAGCAGAAAUGUUUAUGAUUUUGUUUUUAGAGGGGCUUUAAAUAGAAAAGGACCAAACGGGGAAUAAGGAAGAUGCAUUAUUUGUUGUUGUUUUUUC
RNAcentral lists this long non-coding RNA (1476 nucleotides) under Nicotiana tabacum (common tobacco). RNAcentral describes it as "long non-coding RNA (NTAB_LNC014289)". Lineage: Eukaryota; Viridiplantae; Streptophyta; Magnoliopsida; Solanales; Solanaceae. The record is from RNAcentral.